GAUGAACGCUGGCGGCGUGCCUAAUACAUGCGAGUCGAGCGAACAGACGAGGAGCUUGCUCCUUUGACGUUAGCGGCGGACGGGUGAGUAACACGUGGAUAACCUACCUAUAAGACUGGGAUAACUUCGGGAAACCGGAGCUAAUACCGGAUAACAUGUUGAACCGCAUGGUUCAACAGUGGAAGACGGUCUUGCUGUCACUUAUAGAUGGAUCCGCGCCGCAUUAGCUAGUUGGUAAGGUAACGGCUUACCAAGGCAACGAUGCGUAGCCGACCUGAGAGGGUGAUCGGCCACACUGGAACUGAGACACGGUCCAGACUCCUACGGGAGGCAGCAGUAGGGAAUCUUCCGCAAUGGGCGAAAGCCUGACGGAGCAACGCCGCGUGAGUGAAGAAGGUCUUCGGAUCGUAAAACUCUGUUAUUAGGGAAGAACAAAUGUGUAAGUAACUAUGCACGUCUUGACGGUACCUAAUCAGAAAGCCACGGCUAACUACGUG
This 497-nucleotide ribosomal RNA is filed under the name uncultured bacterium. RNAcentral describes it as "partial 16S ribosomal RNA". It matches the Rfam family "Bacterial small subunit ribosomal RNA", at positions 28 to 507 of the family's 1533-position model. The record is from RNAcentral.